This 427-nucleotide unclassified non-coding RNA is filed under the name uncultured Chytridiomycota. RNAcentral describes it as "sequence contains ITS2". The stretch from base 1 to 142 matches the Rfam family "5.8S ribosomal RNA". The record is from RNAcentral. Lineage: Eukaryota; Fungi; Chytridiomycota.
AACUUUUGACAAUGGAUCACUUGGCUCUCGCAUCGAUGUAGAACGCAGCGAAAUGCGAUAAGUAAUGUGAAUUGCUUUCCGUGAAUCAUCGAAUCUUUGAACGCACAUUGCACUCCUUUGGAGUAUGCCUGUUUGAGAAUCUAUAGUAAUUAUUUCCGGUUUGGUUAUUCGUAACUGGUCAGGAAGAUUUGAGACUUCUCCCCGUUUGGGCGAGUAUCUUUAAACUUAUAGCCUCUUUUGUGGUGAAUUCCUCUACAGAACAGUAUUUGAAUGGAACUAACGUUUCUCAUAAUGCCACUUAAGUAGAGUCGCCUAUUGAAAAGGGGGUCCAUAAACUGAAAGUCAGUCUCUCGGGACUGGCUUGACCCAUGGUCUCAAAUCAGGUAGGAAGACCCGCUGAACUUAAGCAUAUCAAUAAGCGGAGGCU